AGAGUUUGAUCAGUGGCUCGAGACGACGCUGGCGGCGUGCCUAACACAUGCAAGUCGAACGAGGUCCAUCCUUCGGGAGAAGACCUAGUGGCGAACGGGUGAGUAACACGUGAGGAACCUGCCCCGAAGACCGGGAUAACCCUCCGAAAGGAGAGCUAAUACCGGAUACCCCCACCGAGCCGCAUGGUUUGGUGAGGAAAUGGAUUCCGCUUCGGGAGGGCCUCGCGGCCUAUCAGCUAGUUGGUGGGGUAACGGCCCACCAAGGCAUCGACGGGUAGCUGGUCUGAGAGGACGAUCAGCCACACUGGGACUGAGACACGGCCCAGACUCCUACGGGAGGCAGCAGUGGGAAUCUUGCGCAAUGGGCGAAAGCCUGACGCAGCAACGCCGCGUGGGGAUGAAGGCUCUCGGGUUGUAAACCCCUUUCAGCAGGGACGAGUCAAGACGGUACCUGCAGAAGAAGCCCCGGCUAACUACGUG
This 480-nucleotide ribosomal RNA is filed under the name uncultured bacterium. Its description in RNAcentral is "bacterial SSU rRNA". It matches the Rfam family "Bacterial small subunit ribosomal RNA", at positions 8 to 507 of the family's 1533-position model. The record is from RNAcentral.